This 73-nucleotide transfer RNA is filed under the name Mustela putorius furo (domestic ferret). It matches the Rfam family "tRNA". From Rfam's summary of the family: Transfer RNA (tRNA) molecules are approximately 80 nucleotides in length. Their secondary structure includes four short double-helical elements and three loops (D, anti-codon, and T loops). Lineage: Eukaryota; Metazoa; Chordata; Mammalia; Carnivora; Mustelidae. The record is from Rfam by way of RNAcentral.
GCCUGGCUGGUUAAGUUGGUAGAACGUGUGACUCUUAAUCUUAGAGGUGUGGGUUGGAACCCCAUAUUGGGUG